Long non-coding RNA from Gadus morhua (Atlantic cod), 292 nucleotides. RefSeq lists it as uncharacterized. The transcript is spliced from 3 exons. Lineage: Eukaryota; Metazoa; Chordata; Actinopteri; Gadiformes; Gadidae. The record is from RefSeq and is a predicted model, not a curated record.
AACACCUGCACCUGGAAAGCUGAAGGGUUGUGCACAAGGACUUUCAUGCACUUUGAUCUUUGGGUGCUCCUGGUUUGGGCUUUUUUCAGGUUCAUACGCGCUGCAUCAUAAUUGGCUGUUGAAGACAACAAUGAAUUCCCAUCUCUCAGACUUACCUGAUCCUCCAUCCAAACUCUGAUGUUGGAAUCCAUGCUGUCCAGUCCAUGUGAAGAGCACAGGAAGGCUUGUUGCAGCACACUUAAUAGUAAGCUGUGUGUGUGUGUGUGUGUGUGUGUGUGUGUGUGUGUGUGUG